CCUACGGGCGGCAGCAGUGGGGAAUAUUGGACAAUGGGGGCAACCCUGAUCCAGCCAUGCCGCGUGUGUGAAGAAGGCCCUCGGGUUGUAAAGCACUUUCAGUGAGGAAGAACGCCUGGUGGUUAAUAUCCAUCAGGAAAGACAUCACUCACAGAAGAAGCACCGGCUAACUCCGUGCCAGCAGCCGCGGUAAUACGGAGGGUGCGAGCGUUAAUCGGAAUUACUGGGCGUAAAGCGCGCGUAGGUGGCUUGAUAAGCCGGUUGUGAAAGCCCCGGGCUCAACCUGGGAACGGCAUCCGGAACUGUCAAGCUAGAGUGCAGGAGAGGAAGGUAGAAUUCCCGGUGUAGCGGUGAAAUGCGUAGAGAUCGGGAGGAAUACCAGUGGCGAAGGCGGCCUUCUGGACUGACACUGACACUGAGGUGCGAAAGCGUGGGUAGCAAACAGGAUUAGAUACCCGAGUAGUC
This 465-nucleotide ribosomal RNA is filed under the name Vreelandella stevensii. RNAcentral describes it as "partial 16S ribosomal RNA". It matches the Rfam family "Bacterial small subunit ribosomal RNA", at positions 338 to 795 of the family's 1533-position model. The record is from RNAcentral. Lineage: Bacteria; Pseudomonadati; Pseudomonadota; Gammaproteobacteria; Oceanospirillales; Halomonadaceae.